This is a long non-coding RNA of Pseudopipra pipra, 2063 nucleotides long. RefSeq lists it as uncharacterized. The transcript is spliced from 3 exons. NCBI's taxonomy places the organism in Eukaryota, Metazoa, Chordata, Aves, Passeriformes, Pipridae. The record is from RefSeq and is a predicted model, not a curated record.
AAGUACCUGUUUAAUGGAAAAAGCAAACAAGGAGAGCUUCUCACUGACACUGGUAAUUGAGAUAGGGGAAAAAUGGGACAUCGAUAGGGGAUGUACAGUAUCUGCUGUUUAAGUCUAUUCUAACAGAAGCAAUAUACAAGUCAGAAUCCAUGGCAAGGCAAGCUGAAUCACUUUUUCUAUCUUAAUUUAAGGUUUUACUUAUCAAACUGAUUGUACCGACUGGUAACAAGUUCUGGUGUAGGUUGUGUUGUAUACAAUGUGGAAAGCAAGAAACAGGAGUUCAGUAAGGCCUUUAAAGAGGUAUUUUUUUCAAGUUUUAGACUGACUGUAACCAAAGUGAGAUUUUGGAUCUUUGGGAGCAGUAGGCUCUAAAGUCUGGUUCUAUGUAUUAGAAACAUAACUUGCUGGUGCUCUGGCAAAAAAAAAAAAAUCCUCAUCCUGCCUUUUCUACUUUGUCCUUUCCUGUUGUUCCCCCUAGACUUCCUUCAGCCCUCAUAUCCCACUGCUGGAUCUACACAUGAUAAGCUAUUAGCUUCAAUAGUAUUACUCCCAUCUGUCCAGGUUUGUUACCUACUACUAUCCUUCCUCUUCCUCAGCAGCAGCAUCUGGCUUUCACUCUCUGCUGAGAAGGAAGACAAAGACUGAUUCUCUGGGAAAUCUGCUUUCACAUUAGCUUAGCAGGAAUAUAUUUAAAAGGGAUUUCCCAAAGCAGUUUUGCUUUUUAAUUAGUGUUUUGGUUUUCAUCCAUCUCUCUCUUUCUCUCUCUAAAAGACAUAAAAGAAUAAAAGACACAUACUCUGCUACAGGUCAUAGAGACAACAGACCUUCUUGGGUGUUUAAAGAGUCUAGUUGGAAUAGUACAAAGUUUACAGCUGCAAAACUUGAGUAAAGAGCAGAUGACUUGUCUUGCAGAGCUCUAUACUUCUCCAAGUAAGGAACAACUGCUAAAACCCAAGCUGGAUGUUCACAGUGUAGACAGAGCAGCUGUGCUGGUUUACACAGAAUAAAUGGCUUCAGGCCAUACAGUGUCAACUUAGUGGUCUCUUCUUUAGUUUCAGACAACAAAAUUAAGAAACAGCUCUUCUCAAAAGACAGAUAAUACAUGCUAAAACACCUUAAUCAAAUCUGAAAAAGUGCUGGCUUGUCAACCUUGGCUUUAGGUGCUGAACUCACCACAGAUUUUACAACCUUUUAUUUAGUGACAGAUAUCUGGUGGUAUGGUAUUUGACAAUUGCACCUGGCUUUUAAAUCAGGAUCUUCUCUUUUUAAACAAGACAGAAUGUGCUGUCACACAUGCUGUCACACUGUUGCAGUGAGGCACCCUUUGCAGUGUUGCUCCGUGCCCCUACAGGGCACAUCUUCAUCCGUGCCCUGUGAGCUGAAAGCCUGAGUCUGCAUUCAGCAAUUACACAUUUCUGCAGAGCUUUGCUGCCAGACAACAUGCCACAGUGGAGUGACUGCAAUUAGAAGUGGCAAAGGGAAUUCUGGACUAGACAAGAUGGCUGGUACCUAACAGUGCAACACUGAGUUUUGAAAAUUGUAACAUCUGUCUGACUGACAAGAAUCUGGAGCUGCCUAGAGCUAACAUCUGAAACACUGGAGCUGCAACUUCUGAAGUAACUGUGUCUUUUGGCAAGGCCUGUAGAGUAUGAAGGAGAUGGACCAGAGCACUGGAAACAGAGAGCCUAAUUAUAACAUAAGCAAAAGAAAAUAAAGUUAACUCCAAAAAUCCCAAAAGCAAUAAACUGCUGACAAGAAGAGCCAUAGACCCAGCAACAAGAAAAUAUGCAGCAAUCUUCAGGCAUUCUGAGUGGAAGGCACUUCACACAGGAGUAUAACUCAAACUAAUUGUACAGUUAUUUCUGGAAGUAUUUUGACAUUUGCAGUGAACUGCAGUCUAAUAGACUGAGCCAACAGAAACAGAACUGUUCUUUUGCACAUGAUAAGGACUCAUUGUUUAGAUGCAAUCUCGUGCCUAUAAUGCAAUUUUGUGACAGCUAUACAUUGCAUUAACACCAGACCAUGUUUGGAUGGCAAGGAUCAAGUCAUGUACUUACUCAUGC